GACGAACGCUGGCGGCGUGCUUAACACAUGCAAGUCGAACGGAAAGGCCCUGCUUUUGUGGGGUGCUCGAGUGGCGAACGGGUGAGUAACACGUGAGUAACCUGCCCUUGACUUUGGGAUAACUUCAGGAAACUGGGGCUAAUACCGGAUAGGAGCUCCUGCUGCAUGGUGGGGGUUGGAAAGUUUCGGCGGUUGGGGAUGGACUCGCGGCUUAUCAGCUUGUUGGUGGGGUAGUGGCUUACCAAGGCUUUGACGGGUAGCCGGCCUGAGAGGGUGACCGGCCACAUUGGGACUGAGAUACGGCCCAGACUCCUACGGGAGGCAGCAGUGGGGAAUAUUGCACAAUGGGCGGAAGCCUGAUGCAGCAACGCCGCGUGCGGGAUGACGGCCUUAGGGUUGUAAACCGCUUUCGCCUGUGACGAAGCGUGAGUGACGGUAAUGGGUAAAGAAGAACCGGCUAACUACGUG
This 468-nucleotide ribosomal RNA is filed under the name uncultured bacterium. RNAcentral's name for it is "partial 16S ribosomal RNA". It matches the Rfam family "Bacterial small subunit ribosomal RNA", at positions 28 to 507 of the family's 1533-position model. The record is from RNAcentral.